Molecule: ribosomal RNA, 253 nt
Filed under: uncultured bacterium
Lineage: Bacteria
Description: partial 16S ribosomal RNA
Rfam family: Bacterial small subunit ribosomal RNA
Source: RNAcentral
UACGUAGGUGGCAAGCGUUAUCCGGAAUUAUUGGGCGUAAAGAGCGCGCAGGUGGUUAAUUAAGUCUGAUGUGAAAGCCCACGGCUUAACCGUGGAGGGUCAUUGGAAACUGGUUGACUUGAGUGCAGAAGAGGGAAGUGGAAUUCCAUGUGUAGCGGUGAAAUGCGUAGAGAUAUGGAGGAACACCAGUGGCGAAGGCGGCUUCCUGGUCUGCAACUGACGCUGAGGCGCGAGAGCGUGGGGAGCAAACAGG